GGUGGCAGCAGUGAGGAAUAUUGGUCAAUGGGAGAGAUCCUGAACCAGCCAAGCCGCGUGAGGGAAGACGGCCCUAUGGGUUGUAAACCUCUUUUGUCGGAGAACAAAACCCGGGACGUGUCCCGGACUGCGUGUAUCCGAAGAAAAAGCAUCGGCUAACUCCGUGCCAGCAGCCGCGGUAAUACGGAGGAUGCGAGCGUUGUCCGGAAUCAUUGGGCGUAAAGAGUUCGUAGGCGGCAUGUAAAGUCAGGUGUUAAAGGCGCAGGCUCAACCUGUGUAUGGCACUUGAUACUUGCAAGCUGGAAUGCGGUAGAGGUAAAGGGAAUUCCUGGUGUAGCGGUGAAAUGCUUAGAUAUCAGGAGGAACAUCGGUGGCGUAAGCGCUUUACUGGGCCGUAAUUGACGCUGAGGAACGAAAGCCAGGGUAGCAAAUGGGAUUAGAUACCCUUGUAGUC
This 454-nucleotide ribosomal RNA is filed under the name uncultured bacterium. Its description in RNAcentral is "partial 16S ribosomal RNA". It matches the Rfam family "Bacterial small subunit ribosomal RNA", at positions 344 to 795 of the family's 1533-position model. The record is from RNAcentral.